AGGGAAUAUUGCACAAUGGAGGAAACUCUGAUGCAGCGACGCCGCGUGAGUGAUGAAGGACUUCGGUUCGUAAAGCUCUGUCGUACAGGAAUAAAUUUUGAAUGUACUGUACAAGAAAGGAUCGGCUAACUUCGUGCCAGCAGCCGCGGUAAGACGAGGGAUCCUAGCGUUGUUCGGAAUCAUUGGGCGUAAAGCGGAUGCAGGUGGUUUUUUAAGUCAGGUGUGAAAGUCCAAGGCUUAACCUUGGAAGUGCAUUUGAUACUGAAAAACUUGAGUGCCAGAGAGGCUGCUAGAAUUCCUGGUGUAGUGGUGAAAUACGUAGAUAUCAGGAGGAAUACCAGAGGCGAAGGCGGGUAGCUGGCUGGACACUGACACUCAUAUCCGAAAGCGUGGGUAGCAAAC
RNAcentral lists this ribosomal RNA (402 nucleotides) under uncultured bacterium. Its description in RNAcentral is "bacterial SSU rRNA". It matches the Rfam family "Bacterial small subunit ribosomal RNA", at positions 356 to 773 of the family's 1533-position model. The record is from RNAcentral.